UCAACACUACAACCAGACUCGCGGCGCC
RNAcentral lists this non-coding RNA (28 nucleotides) under Bombyx mori (domestic silkworm). Lineage: Eukaryota; Metazoa; Arthropoda; Insecta; Lepidoptera; Bombycidae. The record is from RNAcentral.